RNAcentral lists this ribosomal RNA (470 nucleotides) under uncultured organism. RNAcentral's name for it is "partial 16S ribosomal RNA". It matches the Rfam family "Bacterial small subunit ribosomal RNA", at positions 335 to 797 of the family's 1533-position model. The record is from RNAcentral.
ACUCCUACGGGAGGCAGCAGUGGGGAAUUUUGGACAAUGGGCGAAAGCCUGAUCCAGCAAUGCCGCGUGAGUGAAGAAGGCCUUCGGGUUGUAAAGCUCUUUUGUCAGGGAAGAAACGGUGAGAGCUAAUAUCUUUUGCUAAUGACGGUACCUGAAGAAUAAGCACCGGCUAACUACGUGCCAGCAGCCGCGGUAAUACGUAGGGUGCAAGCGUUAAUCGGAAUUACUGGGCGUAAAGCGUGCGCAGGCGGUUUUGUAAGUCUGAUGUGAAAUCCCCGGGCUCAACCUGGGAAUUGCAUUGGAGACUGCAAGGCUAGAAUCUGGCAGAGGGGGGUAGAAUUCCACGUGUAGCAGUGAAAUGCGUAGAUAUGUGGAGGAACACCGAUGGCGAAGGCAGCCCCCUGGGUCAAGAUUGACGCUCAUGCACGAAAGCGUGGGGAGCAAACAGGAUUAGAAACCCGAGUAGUCCC